This 748-nucleotide ribosomal RNA is filed under the name uncultured archaeon. RNAcentral describes it as "bacterial SSU rRNA". It matches the Rfam family "Archaeal small subunit ribosomal RNA", at positions 110 to 859 of the family's 1478-position model. The record is from RNAcentral.
UGCCCUUAGGUCUGGCAUAACCCCGGGAGACUGGGGAUAAUUCCGGAUAGAUCAUAGAUGCUGGAAUGCGCUGUGAUCCAAAGCUAUUGUGCCUAAGGAUGGGUCUGCGGUCUAUCAGGUUGUAGUGGGUGUAAUGUACCUACUAGCCUACGACGGAUACGGGUUGUGGGAGCAAGAGCCCGGAGAUGGAUUCUGAGACAUGAAUCCAGGCCCUACGGGGCGCAGCAGGCGCGAAAACUUUACAAUGCGGGGAACCGCGAUAAGGGGACACCGAGUGCCAGCAUCCUAUGUUGGCUGUCCAUAUGUCUAAAUCACAUGUGUUAGCAAGGGCCGGGCAAGACCGGUGCCAGCCGCCGCGGUAACACCGGCGGCCCGAGUGGUGGCCACUAUUAUUGGGUCUAAAGGGUCCGUAGCCGGUUUGGUCAGUCUUCCGGGAAAUCUGACGGCUUAACCGUUAGGCUUUCGGGGGAUACUACCAGGCUUGGGACCGGGAGAGGUAAGAGGUACUACGGGGGUAGGAGUGAAAUCUUGUAAUCCCUGUGGGACCACCAGUGGCGAAGGCGUCUUACCAGAACGGACCUGACGGCAAGGGACGAAAGCUAGGGGCACGAACCGGAUUAGAUACCCGGGUAGUCCUAGCCGUAAACGAUACUCGCUAGGUGUCGGCCACGGUGCGACCGUUGUCGGUGCCGUAGGGAAGCCGUGAAGCGAGCCACCUGGGAAGUACGGCCGCAAGGCUGAAACUUAA